UGGGGAAUAUUGGACAAUGGGCGCAAGCCUGAUCCAGCCAUGCCGCGUGAGUGACGAAGGCCUUAGGGUUGUAAAGCUCUUUUGGCGGGGAAGAUAAUGACGGUACCCGCAGAAUAAGCUCCGGCUAACUUCGUGCCAGCAGCCGCGGUAAUACGAAGGGAGCUAGCGUUGUUCGGAAUCACUGGGCGUAAAGCGCACGUAGGUGGGCAGUUAAGUCAGGGGUGAAAGCCCGAGGCUCAACCUCGGAAUGGCCUCUGAUACUGGCUGUCUAGAGUCCGAGAGAGGUGGGUGGAAUUCCUAGUGUAGAGGUGAAAUUCGUAGAUAUUAGGAAGAACACCGGUGGCGAAGGCGGCCCACUGGCUCGGUACUGACACUGAGGUGCGAAAGCGUGGGGAGCAAACAGGAUUAGAUACCCCCGUAGUCCCUGAGCGGGCUGGCAAGGCGCAU
RNAcentral lists this ribosomal RNA (447 nucleotides) under uncultured bacterium. RNAcentral describes it as "bacterial SSU rRNA". It matches the Rfam family "Bacterial small subunit ribosomal RNA", at positions 355 to 825 of the family's 1533-position model. The record is from RNAcentral.